UACGAAGGGAGCUAGCGUUGUUCGGAAUCACUGGGCGUAAAGCGCACGUAGGCGGAUUUGUCAGUCAGGGGUGAAAUCCCGGGGCUCAACCUCGGAACUGCCUUUGAUACAGCAAGUCUUGAGUCCGAGAGAGGUGGAUGGAAUUCCUAGUGUAGAGGUGAAAUUCGUAGAUAUUAGGAAGAACACCGGUGGCGAAGGCGGCCCACUGGCUCGAUACUGACGCUGAGGUGCGAAAGCGUGGGGAGCAAACAGG
Molecule: ribosomal RNA, 253 nt
Filed under: uncultured bacterium
Lineage: Bacteria
Description: partial 16S ribosomal RNA
Rfam family: Bacterial small subunit ribosomal RNA
Source: RNAcentral